Molecule: ribosomal RNA, 496 nt
Filed under: uncultured bacterium
Lineage: Bacteria
Description: bacterial SSU rRNA
Rfam family: Bacterial small subunit ribosomal RNA
Source: RNAcentral
AUUGAACGCUGGCGGCAGGCAUAACACAUGCAAGUCGAGCGGAUGAAGGGAGCUUGCUCCUGGAUUCAGCGGCGGACGGGUGAGUAAUGCCUAGGAAUCUGCCUGGUAGUGGGGGAUAACGUCCGGAAACGGGCGCUAAUACCGCAUACGUCCUGAGGGAGAAAGUGGGGGAGUCUUCGGACCUCACGCUAUCAGAUGAGCCUAGGUCGGAUUAGCUAGUUGGUGGGGUAAAGGCCUACCAAGGCGACGAUCCGUAACUGGUCUGAGAGGAUGAUCAGUCACACUGGAACUGGGACACGGUCCAGACUCCUACGGGAGGCAGCAGUGGGGAAUAUUGGACAAUGGGCGAAAGCCUGAUCCAGCCAUGCCGCGUGUGUGAAGAAGGUCUUCGGAUUGUAAAAGCACUUUAAAGUUGGGAGGAAGGGCAGUAAGUUAAUACCUUGCUGUUUUGACGUUACCAACAGAAUAAGCACCGGCUAACUUCGUGCCAGCAGCC